GAGUUUGAUCCUGGCUCAGAUUGAACGCUGGCGGCAUGCCUUACACAUACAAGUCGAACGGCAGCACGGGUGCUUGCACCUGGUGGCGAGUGGCGAACGGGUGAGUAAUACAUCGGAACAUGUCCUGUAGUGGGGGAUAGCCCGGCGAAAGCCGGAUUAAUACCGCAUACGAUCUACGGAUGAAAGCGGGGGACCUUCGGGCCUCGCGCUAUAGGGUUGGCCGAUGGCUGAUUAGCUAGUUGGUGGGGUAAAGGCCUACCAAGGCGACGAUCAGUAGCUGGUCUGAGAGGACGACCAGCCACACUGGGACUGAGACACGGCCCAGACUCCUACGGGAGGCAGCAGUGGGGAAUUUUGGACAAUGGGCGAAAGCCUGAUCCAGCAAUGCCGCGUGUGUGAAGAAGGCCUUCGGGUUGUAAAGCACUUUUGUCCGGAAAGAAAUCCUUGGCUCUAAUACAGUCGGGGGAUGACGGUACCGGAAGAAUAAGCACCGGCUAACUACGUGCCAGCAGCCGCGGUAAUACGUAGGGUGCGAGCGUUAAUCGGAAUUACUGGGCGUAAAGCGUGCGCAGGCGGUUUGCUAAGACCGAUGUGAAAUCCCCGGGUUCAACCUGGGAACUGCAUUGGUGACUGGCAGGCUAGAGUAUGGCAGAGGGGGGUAGAAUUCCACGUGUAGCAGUGAAAUGCGUAGAGAUGUGGAGGAAUACCGAUGGCGAAAGGCAGCCCCCUGGGCCAAUACUGACGCUCAUGCACGAAAGCGUGGGGAGCAAACAGGAUUAGAUACCCUGGUAGUCCACGCCCUAAACGAUGUCAACUAGUUGUUGGGGAUUCAUUUCCUUAGUAACGUAGCUAACGCGUGAAGUUGACCGCCUGGGGAGUACGGUCGCAAGAUUAAAACUCAAAGGAAUUGACGGGGACCCGCACAAGCGGUGGAUGAUGUGGAUUAAUUCGAUGCAACGCGAAAAACCUUACCUACCCUUGACAUGGUCGGAAUCCCGCUGAGAGGUGGGAGUGCUCGAAAGAGAACCGGCGCACAGGUGCUGCAUGGCUGUCGUCAGCUCGUAUCGUGAGAUGUUGGGUUAAGUCCCGCAACGAGCGCAACCCUUGUCCUUAGUUGCUACGCAAGAGCACUCUAAGGAGACUGCCGGUGACAAACCGGAGGAAGGUGGGGAUGACGUCAAGUCCUCAUGGCCCUUAUGGGUAGGGCUUCACACGUCAUACAAUGGUCGGAACAGAGGGUUGCCAACCCGCGAGGGGGAGCUAAUCCCAGAAAACCGAUCGUAGUCCGGAUUGCACUCUGCAACUCGAGUGCAUGAAGCUGGAAUCGCUAGUAAUCGCGGAUCAGCAUGCCGCGGUGAAUACGUUCCCGGGUCUUGUACGCACCGCCCGUCACACCAUGGGAGUGGGUUUUACCAGAAGUGGCUAGUCUAACCGCAAGGAGGACGGUCACCACGGUAGGAUUCAUGACUGGGGUGAAGUCGUAACAAGGUA
Molecule: ribosomal RNA, 1491 nt
Filed under: uncultured beta proteobacterium
Lineage: Bacteria; Pseudomonadati; Pseudomonadota; Betaproteobacteria
Description: 16S ribosomal RNA
Rfam family: Bacterial small subunit ribosomal RNA
Source: RNAcentral